ACUUGCGGUGGGUACGGGCAGACUAGAGUGUGGUAGGGGAGACUGGAAUUCCUGGUGUAGCGGUGAAAUGCGCAGAUAUCAGGAGGAACACCGAUGGCGAAGGCAGGUCUCUGGGCCACUACUGACGCUGAGAAGCGAAAGCAUGGGGAGCGAACAGGAUUAGAUACCCUGGUAGUCCAUGCCGUAAACGUUGGGAACUAGGUGUGGGUCUCAUUCCACGAGAUCCGUGCCGCAGCUAACGCAUUAAGUUCCCCGCCUGGGGAGUACGGCCGCAAGGCUAAAACUCAAAGGAAUUGACGGGGGCCCGCACAAGCGGCGGAGCAUGCGGAUUAAUUCGAUGCAACGCGAAGAACCUUACCAAGGCUUGACAUAUGCGAGAACGCGGCAGAGAUGUCGUUCUCUUUGGACACUCGCAUACAGGUGGUGCAUGGUUGUCGUCAGCUCGUGUCGUGAGAUGUUGGGUUAAGUCCCGCAACGAGCGCAACCCUCGUUCUAUGUUGCCAGCACGUGAUGGUGGGGACUCAUAGGAGACUGCCGGGGUCAACUCGG
This 549-nucleotide ribosomal RNA is filed under the name Salmonella enterica. RNAcentral describes it as "bacterial SSU rRNA". It matches the Rfam family "Bacterial small subunit ribosomal RNA", at positions 619 to 1166 of the family's 1533-position model. The record is from RNAcentral. Lineage: Bacteria; Pseudomonadati; Pseudomonadota; Gammaproteobacteria; Enterobacterales; Enterobacteriaceae.